This 495-nucleotide ribosomal RNA is filed under the name uncultured bacterium. RNAcentral describes it as "bacterial SSU rRNA". It matches the Rfam family "Bacterial small subunit ribosomal RNA", at positions 15 to 507 of the family's 1533-position model. The record is from RNAcentral.
GAUCAUGGCUCAGAUUGAACGCUAGCGGGAUGCCUUACACAUGCAAGUCGAACGGCAGCGCGGACUUCGGUCUGGCGGCGAGUGGCGAACGGGUGAGUAAUGUAUCGGAACGUGCCCAGUAGCGGGGGACAACCACUCGAAAGAGUGGCUAAUACCGCAUACGCCCUACGGGGAAAGGGGGGAUCGCAAGACCUCUCACUAUUGGAGCGGCCGAUAUCGGAUUAGCUAGUUGGUGGGGUAAAGGCCUACCAAGGCGACGAUCCGUAGCUGGUUUGAGAGGACGACCAGCCACACUGGGACUGAGACACGGCCCAGACUCCUACGGGAGGCAGCAGUGGGGAAUUUUGGACAAUGGGGGAAACCCUGAUCCAGCCAUUCCGCGUGUGCGAUGAAGGCCUUCGGGUUGUAAAGCACUUUUGGCAGGAAAGAAAUCGUGUGGGUUAAUACCCUGCGCGGAUGACGGUACCUGCAGAAUAAGCACCGGCUAACUACGUG